UCCGGCUUGUCACCGGCAGUUUCCCUAGAGUUCUCGGCAUAACCCGUUAGCAACUAGGAAUGAGGGUUGCGCUCGUUGCGGGACUUAACCCAACAUCUCACGACACGAGCUGACGACAGCCAUGCAACACCUGUUUUUGGCCCAGCCGAACUGAAGAGUUUCCAUUACAAAACUCAUAACCAAAAUGUCAAAGGGUGGUAAGGUUUUUCGCGUAGCAUCGAAUUAAACCACAUGCUCCACCGCUUGUGCGGGUCCCCGUCAAUUCCUUUGAGUUUUAAUCUUGCGACCGUACUCCCCAGGCGGAGUGCUUAACGUGUUAACUGUGUCACUAGAUAAAAAUCUAACGACUAGCACUCAUCGUUUACGGCGUGGACUAC
This 377-nucleotide unclassified non-coding RNA is filed under the name uncultured Rickettsiales bacterium. RNAcentral's name for it is "contains 16S-23S intergenic spacer region". The record is from RNAcentral. Lineage: Bacteria; Pseudomonadati; Pseudomonadota; Alphaproteobacteria; Rickettsiales.